Molecule: ribosomal RNA, 403 nt
Filed under: Bacteroidota bacterium
Lineage: Bacteria; Pseudomonadati; Bacteroidota
Description: Bacteroidetes bacterium partial 16S ribosomal RNA
Rfam family: Bacterial small subunit ribosomal RNA
Source: RNAcentral
UGGGGAAUAUUGCACAAUGGGGGAAACCCUGAUGCAGCGACGCCGCGUGAACGAAGAAGGUAUUCGUAUCGUAAAGUUCUGUCCUAUGGGAAGAUAAUGACAGUACCAUAGAAGAAAGCUCCGGCUAAAUACGUGCCAGCAGCCGCGGUAAUACGUAUGGAGCGAGCGUUGUCCGGAAUUAUUGGGCGUAAAGGGUACGCAGGCGGUUUAAUAAGUCGAAUGUUAAAGAUCGGGGCUCAACCCCGUAAAGCAUUGGAAACUGAUAAACUUGAGUAGUGGAGAGGAAAGUGGAAUUCCUAGUGUAAUGGUGAAAUACGUAGAUAUUAGGAGGAAUACCAGUAGCGAAGGCGACUUUCUGGACACAAACUGACGCUGAGGUACGAAAGCGUGGGGAGCAAACAGG